Molecule: long non-coding RNA, 28975 nt
Filed under: Manihot esculenta (cassava)
Lineage: Eukaryota; Viridiplantae; Streptophyta; Magnoliopsida; Malpighiales; Euphorbiaceae
Description: long non-coding RNA (MESC_LNC006189)
Source: RNAcentral
UGUCAAGAGAUUGUUGCAAUCUGGCUUUUCCAAUAAAGUAUUCAAUUUGUUAUCCAUCAAAGAAAUCCUUAGUUUUUUUUCCCUUCUUUACUUUCUGGGGUCUUUUGGAGCUCCUUGUCAGGUUUCACCAAAACAUUUUGAAUCAUCACUUUCCAAUAUUUUUAAGAUCAUUUUUCGUAGUACCUUGUUCAUUUUUACAUGUUUUACUUUUUCCCCAUUCUAGCAAAGACGCAUCCAUCAGAUCAUGCAACUCUUGCCUUUUCUGAAUUGCUGUGAACUGCUCCACAUCUUGAGUGAAAUUUUCAUCUCUCCAACAUUCUAGCAGAUACUUUAUACAUAUUUCAUAUGCUUCAGUAUAUAAGGCACUAUAAAGAAAGCAAAACUUUUCAUCUUCAUCUAAUUCUUCAUAACAAAAUCUUAAUAAAUCAAACAUGUCAUCAAUGCCAUCAUAUUUAGUACCAGGUCAUAUUCGCAAUUUGUUCAACCCAGCUUCCCAUAUGAGAAUAUUGUCUUUCCUUCUGAAAACUCUUGUUACCUUAUCUAUCAAAAGGCGCAAAUUAUCACACUUCUCAAUAACUUAUAAUGGCCACGAUGUCUAGAUGCAAUUACAAUCAUCUAGAUCAAAUGGGCCCCAAACAUCAUCUAAAAGAAGUAAAAAUCUCAUGCUCUCCAACUUUUCAGAUACUCUUGAAGCAAUUGUCUUGGUGUCGGUUCUACCUUGUAGUGAAUUCAAUUGUAGCUUUUGUGCUAUCUGAUGCUGAACCCUUUCUUGCAACUUUUCUUCAUUACCUUCAUAAGCUAGAGUCACAUAGAAGACUAUAUCAAACAAUUUAGAAAUUUGCAUGACUCACCCGCCCCCAAAAUCCUGUUCUGGUUACGCAGCUAUUUUUUAGACAUUGUAGUAUAUUUUCAAAAAUCAAAUAAAGAGAUGGCAUGUCUUUUAUUUUUGGUGCCUUUGGUUUUAUGAUAGGUUUUGCUGAUCUCUCGAUCAAAAAAUCUCAAUGCCAAAGUCUAAUGAACUCAAAGCUUCCUUGCAAUUGCUUUAUAUGUAUAAUUGGUGAUUACAAUAACCAAGCUGGAUAUUAUUGCGUUAUUUAUAUUUUCAACAUUUCAAUAUUUUCAAAUUUCAAACAGAUGCAUUUUAAAGUCAAUUCAGUUAAAAUUGCAAAAUAAUUAUAUAAAAUAAAAUAUUUUUAAGCGAUUGAUUACAUAAUAUAAUAAAUUUAUAAUUUAUAAUUAUGAUUACAGAAUAUAAUAAAUUUAUAAUUUAUAAUUAAUUAUAUUAUAAGGAUGACAAUUUAAAUGGGAUUAAAUAGGAUAGAUGGAUAAAUGGGUGGAACGGGGUAAAGAUGAUUUCCCCACCCUCAGCUCUGUAAGACUGGAUUAGGAUGAAUUGAUGUAAAAUUAUAAAUUUAUUUAUUUAAAAAUUUAUGAUAGAAAAAUUUAAACACAAUAUUUUUAAUAAUAUAAAUAUAUUUUGCAUUAAAAAUAAUAAUAUUUAUAUAUUUAAUUAUAUAUAUAUUUUACAUUCAAUCAUGCCGCAUUUAAUUUAUUAAUAUUCUCAAUGUCAAAGUUUAAUUGGCUCAAAGCUGCGGCCAAUUACUUUUCCAUGCCAAAGUCUAAUAGGCUCAAAGUUUCCUUACGAUCAAUUAUUUCAUUAUGUAUUAUUGGUGAUUACAACAAUCAAACUGAAUAUUAUUGUGUUAUAUAUUUUUAAUAUUUUAAUAUUUUUAAAUUUCAAGUAGGUGCACUUUAUUUUAAUAAAGUAAUAAAAUAAAUUCAGUUUUAAAUUUCAAGUAGGUGCACUUUAUUUUAAUAAAGUAAUAAAAUAAAUUCAGUUAAAAUUGUAAGAUAAUCAUACAAAAUAAAUAAAUAAAAUAUAUAAAAUAAAAUAAUUUUAAAAAAUUAAUCACGGGAUAUAAUUAUAUGCCACAAAUUUAUAACUUUUAAUUAAUAUUUAAUUAGUUAUAAGAAUAACAAUUUAGAUAAAAUUGGAUAUCAUGGAUGGAUAGAUGGGCGGAGCGGAAACAAAAAUAAUUUUUUUAUUUCCACCUUUUUGAGAUUUGAGUGUUGAUAUUGAUGUAAAAUUAUAAAUUUAUUUAUUAAAAAAAUAUAAUAAAAAAUUUUAAAUAUGAUAUUCUUAAUAAUAUAAAUAUAUUUUGUAUUAAAAAUUAUAAUAUUUAUACACUUAAUUGUAUAUAAUUUGCAUGUUACAAUCUCUUUCCAACGUUCAAUUAUGCAGCACUUCAACUCAUUAAUAUUCUCAAUCUCAAACUCUAAUAGGCUCAAAACUUCUUUGCGGCCAAUGACUUAUCUAUAUUUUCAACAUUGUAACAUUUUCAGAUUUCAAGCAGAUGUAUUUUAGUUUGAUAGGGUAAUAAACUCAAUUUAAUUAAAAUUGCAAUUGCAAGAUAAUUAUAUAAAAUAAAUAAAUAAAAUAUAUAAAAUAAAAUAAUUUUAGAAAGUUCAUUACAGGAUAUAAUUGUAAGUCAUAAAUUUACUAUUUAUGAUUAAUGUAUAAUUAAUGAGAUUAGAUAAGAUUAAUGUAUAAUUAAUGAGAUUAGAUAAGAUAGAUAAAAGGAUAGAUGGACGAGGCGGAGCAAAGAUAAUUCUCUUAUCCUCAUCUCCUUGAGAUUCGAAUGGUAGGAUAUGGAUUGAUGUUAAAUUAUAAAUUUAUUUAUUAAAAAAAUAUAAAAUUAAAAGUUUUAAACACAAUAUUUUUAAUAAUAUAAAUAUAUUUUGUAUUAAAAAUUAUAAUAUUUAUAUACUUAAUUUUAUAAUAUAAAUUAAAAUUUUAAUAAUAAAAUAAUAAAUUAUUAUCAUGGCGGGUGAAGAAAAAUAAUUUAAUUUUAUAACACAGUAUUCUUAAUAAUAAAAAUAUAUUUUAUAUUAAAAAUUAUAAUAUUUAUAUACUUAAUUUUAUAAUAUAAAUUAAAGUUUAAUACUUAAUUUUAUAAUAUAAAUUAAAGUUUAAUACUUAAUUUUAUAAUAUAAAUUAAAAUUUUAAUAAUAAAAUAAUAAAUUAUUAUCAGGGCGGAUGGAGAAAAUAAUUAGGUUGAAAAAAAAUAAUUGGAUUUGGAAUGGGGUGGGAAAAAUAUAUAUCUAUAUAAAUAUAAAGCUGAGUUUCGAAAGAAAUAGAUUAUCACAUUUUGUUUGCUUACUACUAUUAUAUAUAUAUAUAUAACAAUAGAUAUACAUAGUUCAAUUAUUUAACAUAUCCUUAAAGAGUACUAAUUUAUCUGCAUUCGAUAUAAUCAUUUUUGCUACGCUACUAGACGAGAUAAGUCAAGAAAUGUUGAAAGAUGGAAUGGACAAAGAAAAGUUGAGAGAGCUUAAACUCAAAGUUUUGGAGUUGGCAAAAGAAAAGUUGAAAAGGGAAAUCGCAGGACGUCUGAGGUUGAAAACAGAAGGUAUGACAAAAAAUGAUAUAAAUUCUAGAAUAGAAUGACAAGUAUUUGCUCGUUAUGAAUGAUGUUUGGUGCAUAUUUGAGCUAGAUGAUAUUGGUAUCUGCAGCAAUAACAAGGGCAACAAUGUGAUAAUGGCAUCAAGAAAUCAGGAUAUUUGUUGGGGUAUGGAUAUUGAUGCGAUUGAAGAGGUGAAAUCACUAAAAAAAAGAAGCAGUUGCAUUGUUCAAAGGAAAAAUUGGGUGCAAAAGGCAAACAUAUGAGAUUUAGACGAAUCGCUUAAUUGAAAAAGUGGCCAGGUUCUUAAUAAUAUAAAUAUAUUUUGUAUUAAAAAUUAUAAUAUUUAUAUACUUAAUUUUAUAAUAUAAAUUAAUAUUUUCAUAAUAAAAUAAUAAAUUAUUAUCAUGGCGGGUAAAAAAAAUUUAAUUUUAUAAUACAAUAUUUUUAAUAUUAUAAAUAUAUUUUAUAUUAAAAAUUAUAAUAUUUAUAUACUUAAUUUUAUAAUAUAAAUUAAAAUUUUAAUAAUAAAAUAAUAAAUUAUUAUCAGGGCGGGUGGAGAAAAUAAUUAGGUUGAAAAAAAAUAAUUGUAUUUGGAAUGGGGUGGGAAAAAUAUAUAUCUAUAUAAAUAUAAAGCUGAGUUUAGAAAGAAAUAGAUUAUCACAUUUUGUUUGCUUACUUAAUAAGUACUAUUAUAUAUAUAUAUAUAUAACAAUUAAUAUAGNNNNNNNNNNNNNNNNNNNNNNNNNNNNNNNNNNNNNNNNNNNNNNNNNNNNNNNNNNNNNNNNNNNNNNNNNNNNNNNNNNNNNNNNNNNNNNNNNNNNNNNNNNNNNNNNNNNNNNNNNNNNNNNNNNNNNNNNNNNNNNNNNNNNNNNNNNNNNNNNNNNNNNNNNNNNNNNNNNNNNNNNNNNNNNNNNNNNNNNNNNNNNNNNNNNNNNNNNNNNNNNNNNNNNNNNNNNNNNNNNNNNNNNNNNNNNNNNNNNNNNNNNNNNNNNNNNNNNNNNNNNNNNNNNNNNNNNNNNNNNNNNNNNNNNNNNNNNNNNNNNNNNNNNNNNNNNNNNNNNNNNNNNNNNNNNNNNNNNNNNNNNNNNNNNNNNNNNNNNNNNNNNNNNNNNNNNNNNNNNNNNNNNNNNNNNNNNNNNNNNNNNNNNNNNNNNNNNNNNNNNNNNNNNNNNNNNNNNNNNNNNNNNNNNNNNNNNNNNNNNNNNNNNNNNNNNNNNNNNNNNNNNNNNNNNNNNNNNNNNNNNNNNNNNNNNNNNNNNNNNNNNNNNNNNNNNNNNNNNNNNNNNNNNNNNNNNNNNNNNNNNNNNNNNNNNNNNNNNNNNNNNNNNNNNNNNNNNNNNNNNNNNNNNNNNNNNNNNNNNNNNNNNNNNNNNNNNNNNNNNNNNNNNNNNNNNNNNNNNNNNNNNNNNNNNNNNNNNNNNNNNNNNNNNNNNNNNNNNNNNNNNNNNNNNNNNNNNNNNNNNNNNNNNNNNNNNNNNNNNNNNNNNNNNNNNNNNNNNNNNNNNNNNNNNNNNNNNNNNNNNNNNNNNNNNNNNNNNNNNNNNNNNNNNNNNNNNNNNNNNNNNNNNNNNNNNNNNNNNNNNNNNNNNNNNNNNNNNNNNNNNNNNNNNNNNNNNNNNNNNNNNNNNNNNNUGAUGUUUGGUGCAUAUUUGAGCUAGAUGAUAUUGGUAUCUGCAGCAAUAACAAGGGCAACAAUGUGAUAUUGGCAUCAAGAAAUCAGGAUAUUUGUUGGGGUAUGGAUAUUGAUGCGAUUGAAGAGGUGAAAUCACUACAAAAAUAGAAGCAGUUGCAUUGUUCAAGGAAAAAUUGUGUGCAAAAGGCAAUAUGAAAUUUAGACGAAUCGCUUAAUUGAAAAAGUGGCCGGGUUCUUAAUAAUAUAAAUAUAUUUUGUAUUAAAAAUUAUAAUAUUUAUAUUCUUAAUUUUAUAAUAUAAAUUAAUAUUUUAAUAAUAAAAUAAUAAAUUAUUAUCAUGGUGGGUAAAAAAAAAAUUAAUUUUAUAAUACAAUAUUCUUAAUAAUAUAAAUAUAUUUUAUAUUAAAAAUUAUAAUAUUUAUAUACUUAAUUUUAUAAUAUAAAUUAAAAUUUUAAUAAUAAAAUAAUAAAUUAUUAUCAGGGCGGGUGGAGAAAAUAAUUAGAUUGAAAAAAAAUAAUUGGAUUUGGAAUGGGGUGGGAAAAAUAUAUAUCUAUAUAAAUAUAAAGCUGAGUUUAGAAAGAAAUAGAUUAUCACAUUUUGUUUGCUUACUUAAUAAGUACUAUUAUAUAUAUAUAUAACAAUUAAUAUAGUUCAAUUAUUUAACAUAGAUAUACAUAGUUCAAUUAUUUAACGUAUCCUUAAAGAGUACUAAUUUAUCUGCAUUCGAUAUAAUCAUUUUUGCUACGCUACUAGACGAGAUAAGCCAAGAAAUGUUGAAAGAUGGAAUGGACAAAGAAAAGUUGAGAGAGCUUAAACUCAAAGCUUUGGAGUUGGCAAAAGAAAAGUUGAAAAGGGAAAUCGCAGGACGUCUGAGAUUGAAAACAGAAGGUAUGACAAAAAAUGAUAUAAAUUCUAGAAUAUCAGAAGAGUUGAAUGAUAAGUAUUUGCUCGUUAUGAAUGAUGUUUGGUGCAUAUUUGAGCUAGAUGAUAUUGGUAUCUGCAGCAAUAACAAGGGCAACAAUGUGAUAUUGGCAUCAAGAAAUCAGGAUAUUUGUUGGGGUAUGGAUAUUGAUGCGAUUGAAGAGGUGAAAUCACUACAAAAAUAGAAGACACCAAAAUUAAAAGUAUAAUAUAUAAAUUUAGAUAAAAUUUUAAAAAUUUAAAAUUUUGAGAAUAUAUCUUAUAAAUAUUUGUAAAAAAUUUGUUCAUCAUCUUCAGAUGUAUUUUCAUUUUAACUUUUAAAAUCGGAUAAGAAAGGCUUGUAAUGAUUAUAUAUUUAUAGAUUUUUUCUAAUAUAAUUACUUUUUAACAUUAAUUUUAUUUAGUAUUCAUUUAUGUUUAUAUAUGUAUGGUUGAAACUUUUUAUAUUUAUUAUUGUAGUUUAUUAAUAUUUUUUAUUUUACUUGUUAUUUACCUAUUUAUAUUUCUAUUACAACUCAGUUUUAUGUUGUGGAUUUAUUUACUAAUUUAUUGUUAUAAUAUUUGUAUAGAUUUAGAUUUUAGAUAGAUAUUUUAUAAUCAUAAUUAUAAGUAAUUAAUAAUAAAAGUAUGGCCAUUCAUUUAAUAAGAUCAAUAAAAUUUAUUUAGGUAAACAUUAAUUAUCAACCUUUAUGGCUUCAAACAGAAAAAAUUAAUAUAUUAUUAAAUUACUAUUAAAAGAUAAAUAUAAAAUGCAUAUGAUUAAUCCAUAAAAUUAUUAUUUAUUUUUAAUUAUUUUUACUUAUUAAUUUUAAAUUUUAGAUAUUUUUUUAAAUAUUCUCAUGCACAUAUAUAUUAAUUAUAUUUAAUUUUUUAUGUUAAAUAUUAAGAAAAUAAAAAAUCAUAUAUUAAUUAAGAAUAAUAACAAAAUUAAUAAAUUUUAUUUAAUAUAUAUAUAUUAAUUAUUAUUAUUAUUACUAGAAUAAAAAGUCACUUUAUUUUUUUUUAAAUAGGAAGAGUUAUUUAUUAAGUAAGAGUAAUAAUAUAGGGAUAAAAUAAAUAAAUAGAAAAAAAUAUAAUAAAAAGCUACUUGUCACUAUCAAUCUAAGAUAACUUUAAUUACUAUAAAAAAAUAAAUCUAAAAAUUUUUUAAUAACAAAAAAAAUUUAAAUAAUAUAACGCGAUUAUAAACAUCUAUCAUCGAUUAAUUAAUUCAAUUUAUUUUUAUUCAUAAAAAAUUCAUCUAUUUAAAAUUAAUUAAAUAUAAUAGAAUUUAAUUAAAUUAAACUCUUUUAUAUUAGAUAAAUUAAUAAUAAAAUUUAAAUUAAUUUAAUUAAUUUAUUAUUUUUAUUAUUUUUAAAUAAAAUAUAAAUAUUUAUUCUUAUACAUAACAAUUAUUUUCAUCAUAUUUAUUGAAAAAUUAUGAGUAAUAUUUACUUUUAAUUCAAAAUAAAUUCUUACAAGAAUUUAAAGAAAAUUAAAUUAUUAUAUUAUUAAUUUUAUUAAACACAAAAAUUUUACAAAAAGAAUUCAUCUCUUUUAAAUUCUUUCCAAAUUUGAUAGUUUGUAAAUUUAUAUCUUUUAAAUUCUUUCAAAAUUUAGUAUUUCAAACUACGCAAAAUGGAUUUAGAGACGACGAAAUAGAAUUCUCACUAAAAUUUAUUAAGCCAUAUUUUUAAAUAUUUAAAUUACUUUGUUUCAAUAAUUUUUUAAAAUUUCUAUACUAUAUUUUUAUUAUUUUUUAUUAAUAAUUUUUUAAAAUAAAAAUUUUCACGCUAUCACCCCUAAAAGGUUUUAUGAACAGAUGCCCUCAAACUAAUAUUUAAUAUGUAUAUUGUUUUUUUGUAAGGAAAUGAUAAAAAAAAGUUGCAGUAUAGUUCUAAUAGCUUAAUUAGAGGAAGAUGCAAUGGGGGUUUAAAAUUUAUAUCUUAGAAAAUGUAUAUGGGGAUUUAGGUGAAGUUGGUACCUAAUGGCUGAUUUACUGAUAUUUAGCUAUAAGGAUUAAAAGACAAGAAAAUGCUUGAAGAAUCAUGCACUUUCUUGUGAGAAUGGCCGGACUGUUUUAAACUUUUUGAUGCAAAGUUUGGAGACAUGGUGUUGAUGUAUUUUUAAUUCUUGUUUUUCUCAUAGCAUAAUCUUUUAUAGUAUUGAGUGUAUUUGGGAGUCUUGAUGAUCAGAUUUAAUUAAAGAUUUUAUGCUAAAGUUUUUUUGGUUCCUAUUCUUAUUAAUGAAAUUACUUCCUUAUUAAAAAAAUUGGAAAUUCAAUGGUCUAAUAGAUAAACAUCACCAAGUCAAAAAUGGGUUUGAAACUCUUAUCAUCUAGUCAAGACUUGUGGGCAGAAAAAUUAUAUUAUAAAUUUUAAUUUUAAAAAAGUUUAAAAAAUACUAAUAUAGUAAAUUUAAUAUUGUUUCAUAUUUCAUAAUUUGUUAUAAAUUUGAGAGAAAGAUCGGGUUAAAACAAAAAUUCAAAUCAAUUAAAAAACUAAAUAAAGAAAUAUUGAAAUCAUGCUGCUGAAAUCAGAUAUUAUGCUGAUGUAAGCCCCGGUCAUAAUGCUCGGCUUACACUGCAUCCACAAUACCUGGUCAUAAUGCUCAGCUUACACUGCAUCCAUAACAUUUCUCCACUCCUAAAAAAAGAGCGCGUCCUUGAGCUCAAAGUCAGGAUGAGUCGUGAGAAAUUGAGUUGCAUCCUCCCAUAUAGCAUCCUCAGUACUGAACCCGUGCCAAUGAACUACAACUUUUCAAGUGUCACGAUUGAGGCGAGAACACAGGAUAGAGGCUGGAAGGGAUACUACACGACCAUCAUUGAGAGGGGGAAGAGUAGGAGGCACAGCGGGCGCGGCUCUUUUGUAAGCUUUGAGAAGCGAAACAUGAAAAACAUUGUGAAUUUUACUAUAUGCCGGUAAAUCCAACUGAUACGCAACCUGUCCAAUUCGACGUGCUACCAGAAACAGUCAAUAAUACUUUGGGGCAAGUUUACGUCGAAGCUUGCCAUUUAAUGACUUUUGGCAGUAAGGGUGUAAACGUAACCAUACCAGGUCGCCCACAUUAGAAGCAAUGUCUCGAUGUCCUUGAUCAUAAAAAGUUUUAAUGCGAUUCUGAGCCUGCUAUAAUUUGGCUCGCACCUCGUGUAAAAUGGAAUUCCUAUCGAGUAAUGCCCGGUUCACAGCAUCCACCCCAGAAGAUCCAUCCACAUAGGAGGGUAAGUGAGGAGGGUCCCGUCCAUACACAACUUUGAAGGGAGUAGUGCGAAGGGCAGUAUGAAAGGAGAUGUUGUAGCAAUAUUCCGCCCAUGGAAUCCAAUCAACCUAGCGUUUCGGGCAUUCGCCAACCAUAGAACGGAGGUACAUUUCAAUGGUGCGAUUAACCAUCUCGGUUUGUCCAUCAGUUUAAAAGUGAUAAAUAGAAGAAAAUGAUAGCUUAGUACCAUUCAAGCGAAAAAGUUCUCACCAGAAAAUACUAGUAAAAACAACAUCACGAUCACACAUUAUGGAUUCUGGCAUACCAUGUAAAUGAACCACCUGUUCAAAAAAAAAAAACUCGUGCUAAGCUAGUAGCAGUGUAAGGAUGGGCAAGGGGCACAAAAUGUGCGUACUUGGAGAAGCAAUUCACACUUACAAAUGCGAUUGCAAUAAAGAAUGAGCCCCACUUGACGGACCCUCUGUAAUGUUUUUGAAAAUCUUUCAUGUGUGCAAUCAUGAAUACUUGAGAGAAUUGAAGCAACUAGUGGGGAGGAGGGCUGUAAAUAAAUGCGAUUGCAAUAAAGAAUGAGCCCGUCCUGAAGAGACCAGAAUUGAUUCAUUUCACCUUGUUCAAUCCUUCGUUGAAGGUUUUUUAAGUCCGAGAAAAGUUGGAUUUCUAUCUUGAUGUCAUCCCGCAGUGAUACGCAUGGGUGUGAAAUAGCGAAUAGCUGGCUGUCAUAAUCAACUUUGCAUAAAGAAGAUUUGCAGCUCGAUUCAAUUGGCCUGCCUUGUAUUCAACCCGAAAAUAAAAACCCAUGAGUUUACUAAGCCAAUGUUGCUGUGGGGAGGUGUUGAGCCAUUGUUCUAACAAAUAUUUGAGGCUGUAAUGAUCCAUUUUGAUGAGGAAAGAGCGCUCCCAUAGAUAUAGAUGCCAAUGGUGGACGGCUUUGGCUAACCCAAUUAGUUCUCUUUCAUAUGCUGAGAGUUUUAGGUGUUGAUUUGCGAGUUUGCGGCUGAAGAAGGCAAUGGGAUGACCUUCUUGUUGGAGGAUGGCGAUGCCGCUAUCUGAAGCAUCACAUUCAACCAAAAAUUGUUUGGAAAAAUUAGGGAGCUAUAAAAUAGGUUUGGCAACUAGGGUGUGUUUGAGAGUUGUAAACGAAGUCAAUGAGGUGUCUGUGCACGGGAAAGAAUUCCGUUUGAGCAUAUUGGUGAGAGGAGCAGCAAUCAGCCCAUAAUCCUUGAUGGAUUUGCGAUAAUACCCGGUUAAUAUGAGAAACCCAUGGAGGGCAGUGAUGGACUGAGGUUGCGGCCACUCCAUGACUGUCUAAAUUUUUGUAGGAUCAACAGAAACACCGGUAGCUGAAAUAACAUGGUCGAGAUAUGCCACUUGUUUUUCUCCAAAGGAACAUUUGGAUUUCUUGAGAUGGAGAUGAUGAGCUCGGCAUAAUUCAAAGACUGUGUGAAGAUAGAGUAAAUGAUCCUCACAAGUGGCGCGGUAUAUCAGAAUGUCAUCAAAGAAAACCAAAAUAAAUUACCUCAAGUGUUUGGAGAAUACCUCAUUUAUAAGGGCUUGGAAGGUAAAGGGUGCAAUCGUCAAAGAAAACCAAAAUAAAUUACCUCAAGUGUUUGGAGAAUACCUCAUUUAUAAGGGCUUGGAAGGUUGAUUGCUGCAAUCGUCAAACCCGAAGGGCAUGACAAGAAAUUCGAAAUGACUGUGAUGGGUGUAGAAAGCAGUCUUUUCUAUGUUUGCCGAAUCCAUGCGAACUCGGUGAUAGCCAGAUUAUGGAUCAAGUUUAGAGAAAUACGUAGCUCCAUGGAACUCAUCAAGUAGCUCGUCUACCACCAGAAUAGGGAAUUUAUCUUUGAUGGUCUACCGCCGUACAAGCAUGGGGUUGCAAACAGAUUCUGUGAUCAUAAUUUCUCAAAGGAGGAAGCCCUAUAGGUUCAUCAAAUAGAUGAGAAAAAUUCAUUCAGCAAUGAAUAGGUUGCCAGGUUGGGGAGAGCCCUAUAGAGAAUGGAUACGCUGUGCAGAAGUAGCGGGUUGUCCUUGCAGGACUACGGGCUGUCCUUUGAUCUUGAAGCUCAUCGUAAGGGAGGUAAAAUCCCAUAAAAUAGGUCCCAAGGUGCACAACCAUUUUACAUCUAGAACCACAUCAAAACUAGCGAGGGGAAUAAUAAAAAAGUCAUCAGAGAAAGAAUUCUAGGCUAGAGAGAAUGAUACCGUUUUGCAGAUUCUAAUGCUAGAGAUUUUGGUCCCAUUUGCAACUGAUACACUUAGACCGGCUUGUGGGUGAACAUGUAGACCCGGACGCUGAGCUGCUGUGACACUGAUGAAGUUGUGAGUGCUGCCAGAGUCGACUAAACUAAGCAAGGUGUGGCUAUGUAGGAGAAGUCAUAAUUGCGUUGUCUGUGCAUUUGGCUGGCCCGUGAUUGCAUGUAAGGAUAUCUCAGGAGUAGUAUUUUCGUUUAAAGACAGGUUCAGCCGAUUCUUUAUAUUGGUGUCCCAGCAUAUAUGGCUCAUCACGAUUGUAACACAAACCCUUUGCUCGUCGCUCCGCCAUUUCAGCCUUUGUCAACUUUUUGAUAAAUGGAGAAGAGGUACUGUUGGAAUGUCAACUUUUUGAUAAAUGGAGAAGAGGUACUGUUGGAACUAGGGGCUGUCACUGGAACCAUAUUAGAUCCCAUGAAGUUUUUUGAAGCAGAACUGGAUGGUGUCGGUGUGGUACAAGUAGCUUUGGGAUUGACUCAUGUACUCGCCCACGACCCCUUGCGGAAGGUGUUGGUGCGUGCUAAGUGUUGUUUCUUUCAAAAGCACGAGCCAAGUUCAUAGUUUGGGCUAAAUUAGUGGGACUUUGCAUUUCAACAUCCAAGCAGAUAGAAUCAACCAGGCUUGCAUUGAACAAAUCAACUUGCUGAUCUGUUCGCACCAUAGUGGCUCGGGCUAGCAGAGUCUGGUACUGACACUAAUAUUCCUCCACGGUCCCAGCUUGUUUCAGGUUCACCAAUUCACCUAGAUGAUUUCCACGCAGUGGGGGGCCAAAGCUUAGAGUGCAAUAUUCUUUAAAGGUCAUCCAUGGCAGAUUGGGUUCUUCUUGUUCAACGCGAUAGUACCAGAGUUAUGCCUCCUCAACAUAUGAAAGGCAGACAGGCCAACCUUCUCUAGCACGGGCGUUUUUUGAUUAAAAAAAAAUUUCACAUAUGUGCAACCAUACUAACGGGUCCUCAGAUCCAUCAAAAGUAGGAAAAUCAAGUUUAGUAUACUUGGAUACCAUUCCGCUCCUUGAAUCUGCUAUUGCAUCUGGUCUGCCAUGUUGAGUCUCUUGGUUAUUGCUGUUGUUUUCCCCUUCUGAUUCUCGUCCCUAACUGCGGUUGAAAGCAUUGAAAAAAUCUUGAAACUGUCGUGACAGCCAUUGUAAUCGAGCCUCCAAUCUUGAUUCAGUCUGGGUGACUCGGGCUUCCAUUCGAGAUUCUACUGUAGCUAUUCUGGCUUCAUUGGCAGCGUGAGCCUCUUGAAAGAGAGCUCACAAUUUCUCGCUUAGGUUGAGAUCACCCAUAUUAUUGAGCUCUGGUAUCAAAUUGUUAUGACUUUGAUCGAAGGAUCGGAUCAUAGGGCGAUGCACUAAAAAGUAUGCUUACACGGCCUUUUCUUUUUUCCGAUUACAAACUCGUGAAGACCCUACGAUAAAAAAAAUAAAAGAAGUCGUCAGGGAGCUCUAAACCUCUGUAACACAGGAAUUUAAAUUCUAACCGAUGAUUUUAUUGAUUCAAUUUUUCCUUUUAAAUUCUAAAGGUUUCUUUAAAAAAUAAAUUUAAAUCAAUUAAGAAAUUAAAUAAAAAAGUAUUGCUGAAAUCAUGAUGCUCAAAUCAUGCUGUGAAUCAGAUAUUAUGGUUAUGUAUGGCCAGUCAUAAUGCUUGACUUACACUGCAUCUGCAACGCUCGGUCAUAAUGCUCGGCAUUCAUACCAUACUUUCUAAAAUUAUAAAAUUAAAUAAAAAAACAUUAAUAUUCCAUUUAAGAAAAAAAAUAUUGAAAAAAUAGUGUUUAUUGAAAGUUUGCAAUCUUUUUUAUCAAGCUUUCAUGGAAAGAAAUACUUGAAAGGGAAAGUAUCAACCGAUAUAUAUUUUUUUUCAAGUAAUUAAAUAAUAAAUGUUAUUUGUUAGUAAUCAAUUCAAUAAUUUUAAAAUAACAAUAUUGAGUUUUAUUAUUUUAGUUAAUUUAUCAGGCCAAAUAGUAUAUCCAUCUUUAGUGAUGCUUAACUUUUCAUUAAAUACGUGAAAUUUUUAAGAAAAUUUUUCUAAAUAUCUUCCUUGUUAUAGCAGCUAGGUACUACAAUAAUAGAAUUUUAAGUCAUAAUAAAAUAGGAAAUUAUAUAACAAUAAGGAUUUAAAAAUUUUGUUUAAAGGCCUAAUUUUAAUAAAUGGUCAAUGAAAAUAAAAUAUUUAAAAUAAAAUAUAUAAAAUAAAUAAAUAUUUAAAAAAUUUAUAAAAAAUAAUAAAAUAUUAUAAUUUAUUUAUUUAUUUAUUAAAAUAUAUUGAUAACAAUCUCAUUUUUAAUGUUUAUAAAUAUAUUUUUUAAUAUAAGUCAACAUUCAACCGAUUAAAUCACUCAUCUCUUAUUUUAUUAUGAAAUUGACUUUUAAUAAUAUUUAUUAUAAAAACAAACUCUUUCUAUCAUAGUUGUAACUAGGGGUGAGCAGUAUUCGGUUCAAAUCGAAAAAAUUGAUCGAAUCGAACCGAUUUGAAAAUUUAGUUCGAUUUUUUUAUAUAUUUCGGUUUGGUUCGAUUUUUAAUUUUAGAAAUUUUGGUUAUUUCGGUUCGGUUCAGUUUUAAUCAGAAAAAAAUCAAAAAAACCGAACUGAACCGAUUAGUGAUAAUAAUAUAUUUUUUUAAUAAUAUAGAGAAAUUAAAUCAUAUUAAGAUUAAAAAAUUUUAAUUAAAUUUUAAAAUACAAAAAAUAAAGUGUAAAAAAUAAAAAAAUUAUUAAAAAUCGAAACCGAACAAACCGAAUCUAAUCGAACCGAAUCAGACCGGUUCGGUUGGAUUUGGUUUCUGACCAAAAUCAAUUCGAUUCGGUUUUCAUAAACACUAAAAUUUUGAUUUUUGAUUUAUUCAGUUCGGUUCGGUUUUGAACCGAACCGACCGAAUGCUCACCCCUACCCUAGUUGUAACAUGUAAAUUCAUGAAAAAAUAAUAUUAUUAAAAUAAUAUAUUAAUUUAAUAUAAUAUUUAUUAUAAAAUUUAUUUAUUAAAAUUAAAUGAUCUAACCCAUUAAUUAUAAAACAAUUUUUCUCUUUCAUUUUUUCUAAAUUUAAAUAAUAACCUAUUAUCUAUAAAAAUAAUAUUUGUUUAUAUUUAAGUAAUUUUAAAUUUAAAUCAUUUAAUCUAUUAUCUAUUAAAUUUAUAUUUUAAAAUUAAAUUAUUUUUUAAAUUUAAAUAUUCCAUAAAACUUAUUAAUUAAUAAAACAUUUCUCAUAAAUUAUUUUUAUUUAUAAAAAUUUAAAAUUUAUUUCUCAGUUUAACAAAUAAUUUCAACUAUAUAAAUAGAUUAUAAACUAAUUAAGUGAAAUAAUUAUUUUUUAAUAAUAAAAAUAACAUAUAAAAUUAAAUUAUGCAAUGACUGAAUAAUUUAAAAAAUUAAUGUAUUAAAGUUGAAAUUUUAAAGAUAAAAAAUAAAUUUUUUAAAGUAGAAAAAAUAAAGAAUGAGUAGGAUAAAAUAAAAUAAACAAUUAAAAUUAAAUUAACUAAAUAGUAAUGAAGGCGGAUAAGAAUUUAUUUAAUAAAAAAUUAAAAAAUUUAAUUUUAUAAAAUAUAAAAUAUUUUAAUAUAGAAUAAUUUUGAAAUAAAAACUAACUAAUUUAAUGAUAAUUUUUUCUAUUAUAUAUAAAAUUACCUAAAUACCCUAUACAAUUUAAAAUUUUUCAGAGCAAUGUUGGCUCCGUCACUUACAACAUGGGUUGACAUAACAAAUAAAAAGACAGGUUUAUCGUAUAGUGUAAGAGUUCUUUGAUCUAGAGUUCUAAAAUGGAACUACAAAAGAAAAGCUAGCACUUAUCAACAAAAUGAGAUAAUAGGCCAGUAAUUACACAGCCACCACAAGAAAAAAAUAAUAGUGAAAAAAAAAGCUUGAUUUGGUAGAAACCAUACAGGAUUGCAAAAGUUACUGUCUUGAACUGCAUAAAGAUAGAUAAAGUUGGAAAUUUUAACCAACCUUGUAAUAGAACGGGAGAAUCUCACUAUCCAAAAAAAAAAAAGAAACAAAACAAAAAUGCUAGUUUAUCAAAUUUGUACAAACUAUAUAGGCAGAUCCAGAAAAGGAGAUAGACCAUAAAGGACCUAAUAAAUGCAAAAAUUACCUCAUAAAUUUCUCAACAGUUAAAUUCUUCUAUUUAUUAAAUAAUUAUCUUUUGAAAUCGAAGUAAAAUAAUGAAAAAAAUAUAACUUUAUAAUAUUUAUAUAAAUUAUUCUCCAUUGGAUUGCGAAGCUUAAGUAUUUUUCUUAUUCAUAUUGCUACUGUGCCACCAAAGCUUGAGCAACGAGAGGGGCUUUGAGAUUUAAACAAUAAUAUUAGUAAAAGAAUUACAUGAAAAUUUUCAACAAUCUAAAAUGUCAUUUAUUAUUUAAAUUUUUCUUAAAUAAUGAUAAUUAUCUAACUAAUAAUUAUAAAAAAUUAAAAAUAUAAUAAAAAUAAUGUAAUAUUUUAUAUUUUUCCACAAUAAUAAUUUUAAAUAUUUGAAAAUCUAUUCCACUAGUAAACAAGCGUCUAAUUUUUCGUAUUACAAAUAGUGUUCUCGUUGUUCAAAAGUUGAUUUGAAUCAAAUUUCAAUUCAAACUAUCUUUAUUCAUUAUAAUAAAUAUUUAAUUGAUUUUAUAAUCAAAUUCAAUAAAAUUUAUAUAUUUUUUAUUAAUUAACCAUUCAAAUCAUCUAUUACCUCUAUAUUCAUUACAUAUUAAAAUUAAUUUAUUAAUUAAUGAUAUACUGAAAUAUAAUAAAAAAUCAUUCAGGUUUCAACUGCAAAUUUAUUAAUAUAAUAAAAAUAUAACUAAAAAUUAUACAUUAAAAAAUAUCAUAAAAAUUAAAUAAAAAUAAAAUAAUUAAAUUUAUAUAUUACAUUUCAAAUAAUAAAAAAUAAAAAAUAUCUAAUUGAUUUUAUAAAUUAUACACUUUUAAAUCCUGUAAACCAAAAAAAUUUAACUUCAAAAUAAAAAUUAUAACUUUAAUUUUAAUUUUUUAGAAAUUAAAAAAUUAAAAUAAUUUCUGCAUAUUAUUUUAAUUAUUUUAAAAAAUAUGACUAAUUUAAUUUUUUAAAAAAGAAAAAUAAAAUAAAAAAAUAAAAUAUAUUUUACAUAUUAUUUUAACUUUUUUUAGAAAUGUGAAUACUUUUAAAUUUUGUACGAAUUAAAAAUUAAAAGAAUUUAUACAUAUUAGUUUAAUUUUUUCAUAAAUGUGAUUAAUUUUAAUUUUAUAAAAAUUAAAAAAUUAUUACACUUGAAAUAAUUACAGAAAAAUAAAAAACGUCCCUACGAAAUACACUGAAAAUGUAAGAAUAUGACUAAUUUUUAAUUUUUUAGAAAUUAAAAAAUAAAAAUAAAAUAAUUAAAUUCAGAUAUUAUAUUUUUAAUAAUAAUAGAAAUAUAAAAAAAUAUAAUUAGUAUUAUAUUCAAACAAAACACACAAACUAAACUAAACACACAAAUUAAACUAAACAAGAGGAGGUAAAACUAAAAUUUAAUAUGCGUAAUUGAAUAUAAAAUGAUUAUUUGUUAGUUAAUUAAUAAAAAAUAUAUAAAUUAAAUAAAAUAUUUAAAUCAUUUAAUUAAGUUUGAACUAGAUUAAAUUAAUUGGAUAUUUCAAAGAUUGAACCGAUCUAUGAACACCCCUAGCGUUCCAAUGUCAAAAACUCUCAAAUUCUCUAAGUGUCAAUGGAGAGGCCAGGGGAGUUCCAUCAGUUGGUCACAACAACUCAAAGCAAUGGAUUUCCAAAGUUUCCAAGCAAAAUGGUUGGUGCAGAGAAGAUCUAAAACUCAUAGAUUUUGCAUAGAUUCAAAAAAUUUAUCAAUGGUCUUGCAUAGUUGCAACAAUUAAAUCAACCACUAUAAUAUGCCAUUUGCUGGCCUUACAAAUUUUCAGUUUUGCAUCAUUUUUUAUCCUUAUGAAAUAAUCAUUCAAAACAAAAUUUUAUUUUAUUGAGAAAUUUAACCAUGACAUUAAAGUAACAACAAAGCCAUUUUCAAAAAUCAUUUAACAUUUUUACCUCUGAAGUAUGUUUUUUCUGUAUUGACAUAACAAACACAAACGUAAGCAGAAAUGUUAAAUUACUGCACAAAGAUCAUUCUUCUAUUCUCACCUGGUUAAGACUUGGAUUGAGUUAGGUAAUUUUCCAUCGGAUCAAGGUGACGUGGAUUUUCUUUUUUUUUUUCUUUUUAUUUUAAUUAAUGUAAAAAUAUAAAUUUAUUUAAUAAACAUAUAUGAUAGAAAUAAACAUAUAUUUUGUAUUAAAAAUUAUAACAUUUAUAUACUUAAUUAUAUUAUAUAAAUUAAUUUUUAAUAAAAAAUAAUAAUAAAUUAUUAUCGGUGCUGGUUUAGUAUGGGAGGCAAAUUUGAGCCGUCAAAAGUUCUAUGAUAUUUACUGGGUACCAUAUCUUCAAACAAAUAUUGAAUACUUAUAAUAUUCUUUUUAAAGAAAUGCUAUAAUAUAUGUCUUUAGAUAAGUUUUGACUUGAAAUUGUCACUUGUAGAUAUAAGUAGUCAUAUUUUGAUUUAAUUUUAUUUUUUCAAUUUUCAGUACUUUACAAUUGAAAAUUUUAAGACUACUGCUCUCAAAUGUGAUUUAUUACAAAAUAUGAACUCAUGGAAUUAUACAUAAAGAGUUUUUUUUUUUUUUUCAUUUUAGAUUGAUCGUUGUUCAUAUUAUUAAUUUGAAAAAGGUUGAAAUUUUAAGUCAAUCUAUAAUAAUGGUUACAGUGUAGUUCUAACAGCGAGAUUUGAGAAAGAUGAAAUGGAAUAAACAUAUAGUUAGGACUUCAAAUUUAUAUAUUAGGAAUCAUUUCAUGGGAUUAAGGUGAAACUGUUGAUUCUUCAAACCCAUAAUAAUGGUUGCAGUGUAGUUCUAACAGCGAGAUUUGAGGAACAUACAAUGGAAUAGACAUGUAGGAAGGGCUUCAAAUUUAUAUAUUAGGAAUUUAAGAAUAAAUUGACUAUUGAGAUAAAGUUUAAAAGUUUUUAUGAGCAUUUAGUUAAUGUAUAAUUACUAAAAUUAGGGAAGAAGUUGGUAAAUUUUAAUUGAAAAAAUUACAAAGUUUUCCUACCCUAGUAAAUCCAAAAUAGACCUACUUGGUACAAGCAGGCCCACAUCUAUCAAGCAUUUGAAGGAAAAGAAAAUUUUAAAACUUGCGGUGAGCGUGGAUCGAACACGCGACCUUCAGAUCUUCAGUCUGACGCUCUCCCAACUGAGCUAUCCCCGCUGGCUGAGUUAGCUGAAAUUUAUUUAAUCAAUAGUUAUAUAUCUGAAUUGCCUAAUAUCCAAGUUGAAGUUGUUUCUCGAAAGAAACUACCCAAGUUAUUGAAAGUUUGCCAGCUUCCCAUGUUCUAAAUUAUCCAGAACUACUUCUGCCAAUUCUUUGCCCGUCUCUUUGCAAAUUGUUCAACAUUAAUACAUGGUACAUAUAUUAUAUGAAGAAUUUGUGGGGCAUACAAGGGAAGAUAUCCAUCGAGAUUUUUGAGAUGAUAUUUUUAUCCCUAUUGAUUAAUGUAAUUAGGUUAGUCUAUUUGAGAUAAAAUCAUUAUAAUUAUAUUGUUUUAUUUAUUAAGUGAAAAAAAAUUAAAUAAUGGUAAUGUUAUAGGAGUUAUAAAUUUACUACUGUAACUAAAUAAAUAAACUAACAUACUAUAAAAAUAAAAGAAAAUACACAAAAAAUAAGAUAAAUUAUUUGGGUAUGACUUAAAAAUAACUAAUUAAACUAGUUCAACUUUCUUAGUGCUAGGCAAAUCUUGAUCAAAAUAUUUUCUCCAGUAAAGAUGAUUCUUCCACACAAUGAUUAUUUCUUUAAUGGGACACCUUUAGUCUCAAGUAAGAGAUAGUAAAUGAAGAUUCCCAUGAUCAAAGAAAGCAAAAAAAAAAAAAAAACAAACCAUACUUCAUAUAGCAAAACAUUAGUGUGAAGACUUAAGCAAUAAUGAAAGUGAAGAUCAUGUUCAUAGAGACAUUGAUACUCUGAGCAGCUGAUCUAAUUUUCAAUGGGAACAUUUCGCUUUGCAUUAACCACCCGAGAGGACCCCGUGACCAUGCAAAUCCAGCAACAAAUAUGCAUAUUAGAAUCACCACAAUCACUGCAUACCAUGUUGGCAAGUCUCCUGGGUCGCCAUUCACUCCAAACUUCAGCUCAAUUGCAAGUGCUACAACAAGCUGAUUAUUAUGAAAAAUUAAGGUAUUAGUCAAGUGGGUUGAGUAAAUAAUUCUACAACUAUAAUUUACCUGACAGAUGAACAUUUGCAAGCUUCAUUCUAUGUAGAGAGCUCUUCUGCCAACUUUGUCAACAAUAAAAAUUGAAACUAUGAUGGCUAGAGCAUUAACGAUGCCGGUAAUGAAAGCAUACAUGAGGGAAGCUUGGUUUUUAAAGUCAAUAUUCUGAGUAAAACUGGAGCAUAAAACACAAUCACGUUCAUGCUAGUGAGCCGUUGAAACAUUGGAAUGCAAAUUGCCAUAACAAAAUGUGGUCUGUCCGAUCUCUUGAUGAUAUUUCUUCAGGAAUUUUUAACCAACUUAGUUGCUUCACUAACUGCAAUUAGAUCAUCAAAUUCCUCAUCGACCUUGUAAAUGAAUUUAAAUUUUAAAAGAUUUUAUAGUAGUUGUAAAUUUGAUAGUAGUUGAAAAUUUUAUUUGUGAAAUUUAUUAGCGAUGGCAGAUUUGAUAUUUAAAUUUAAUAUUAAAUUUGACCAUUAUAAUUUGAUUAUAUUAUUUCAAAAUUUUUAUAACAGUUACGACGACUAUUUCUUUUCAUUAUAAUUGUCUGCAUUUUUAUAAAGAAAAAUAUUUUUAUUUUCUACUUUAUUUUUUCUCUUCUCUGUACUUUAUGCUGACUUACAAAUUAAAAAUAAAUUCUUAUAGUCCGGAUCUUGAAAAUUAAAAUUUUAAAAGAACAUUAUUUAAUCUUAGAGCAUUGCAAAAUAAAUAUUUAAGUACAGUAUCCAACACGAUUCAAAUUUUAUUAUUCUAUUCUAUUUUUUCAAUAAUUUUAAGGAUUUAGUCUUAUCCUUCAAUGGUGGAGAACAUGUUCACCAAAAUAAAUAUUUAAGUACAGUUCCUACGACUUAUUAUUCUAUUCUAUUUUUUCAAUAAUUUUAAAGAUUUAGUCUUAUUCUUCAAUGGUUGAAAAAAAUCUUAUCCUUAAGAAAAUCUUAUCCUUCAAUGGUAGGAUAAAAUCUUAUUCUUUAAUGGUGAGUGAGAAUUUUAUUUUUCAAUGGUGGGAGAAAAUAAUUAAAGGUUUACUCCAAGAUCUCAAUUAUUAAAAUUUAUUGCUGUUAAAAACUGGUGGUAGACAAUAAAAUCAGAUAAAUUUAUUAUUAUUAAUAUUUUUAUUAUUUAGUGGUAUUUUAUUUUUAAAAAUUUAAUAAUAAAUUAUUAUGAAGUGGUAUUACUCUACACAUACUUAUAUUUAUUUUGUUCAUAGUAGCAUUAAUAGUAACGCUCUAGAAGGAAUUUUUUUAUUUAUAAAAUUGACCUAAAAUAUUUAAAAAGUGUUGAAUGGAUUUUUAUACUUUUGAAGAUUUUGAAAAAAUUAUUUACGGGGUAAAAGGGUUGUCUUGUUUCUAAUAAAAAAAAUACAAAUUUUGUAUUUUUAUAUGAUUUAGAAUAAGCACUUAAAUAGUGAUAUGAGAUAUUUCACCAAGUUUUGGCUAGUGUAUAUGUUUACAAAAUUUAUACCUAAUAAAUGUGUAAUUAUUUGUUUAUAUGUGAAUGAUAUAUGUGAUUAUUUAUUUAUAUGUGAAUGAUAUAUUUAUAUCUGAUACAAACUAUAAUAUAGUAUGUAAAAUUAAAAUAUUUCCCUAUUGAUAAAUUUGAUAUAAAAUAUAUAAAGGAAGCAAAUGUGAUUUGGGUAUUAAAAUUGGAACGAUAGUAUAAUUAUAUCGCAAUAGUAUUAAUAUUGAGUUUCUUCUAAAACAUUUAGACAUGUCAAUAUCAAACUAGUGAAUACCAUAUAUAAUGUUAAUUCUCAAAGAAGAAUAGAGAUAAUAUUAUUGCUCAACUUAAAUAUGCAUAUAUUAUUAGAAAAUUAUUGCAUUUAAUAAAUUUUUCAGAUUUUGAUAUAGUUUAUACUAUAUAAAUUGAACAAAUUUACAUAUAAUAUAAUCAUGAUUAUUAGACUAUUUUAGUCAAAUUUAAGAAUUAUUUAAGAGGUAGCAUGAGUUAUGGUAUUCUAUACAAUAGAUGUAAUAUAAUGAUGUUAAUUGAAAUUUAGAUUCAGAUCAGAUAAAAUCCAUUAGUAAUUAUAUAUUUAAUUGGUGGUACAAUUACUUGGAAAUCAAUUAUUAUUGUUAAAAUCACUAUAGAGUAGUUUAUUGCUCUAGAAUUAGAUGAUUGUGAGAUUUGAGUUGUUAAGAAUUUUUUUAACAAAUACUAUAUUGAAAAUAAAAUUAAUAUCAUUCGUAUUGCCAAAAAACAAUAGCUAUUACAAAAAAUAAAAAUUUUAAUAGUAAAAAUAGAUAUAUUUAUCUAAAAUAUGAUAUGCCUGAGCAGCUGCUGAGAAAUUGAAUUAUAACAAUAGAGUCAGAAGUGGAUUUGAUCAAUUUUCUGAUUUAAUUUUUAAGAAAGAAGUUAAUAAAAGAAACAUUAAGGGAAAUAAGAUUUAGCCAAUGUGAAAUUAACAUUGAUAGGAAACCAACUUUUAUAAUUGGAAACCAACUUUUAUGAUUGGAGAUCCCAUGAAAAAGUUUCACAUGGGUAAUAAUGAGUCACUUAUUAGUUCUGCUAGCACUACUUAAUAUUGUCCUUUCCUAUAGUGUGAGAAGUGCUAGACUGUAUUAAUGAGAUAAUGAGAUGUAAGGUCCUAAUGAUAUUCAUAUCUUUUAUGGAUGAUAUUUUUAUGGAUGUUAUAUAAAUUACAAUAUAUACCUAAUGAUAUCACCUGUAUGUGUGGAGUGGGGGCCGCUUCUAUGAGAUUAUGAUAUAAUCUCCAGAGCACUUAUGAACUAUCAGGUGUGUGCAUGACCUAUUAGCGCAAAACAUCAUUGACAAUAAGAUCUGUGGAGUGUUACGAGAUUGAUGAGAUAUUAGUAUACGAAAAAGAGUUUUUGAUUCAUAGAAACAAAAGUUUCACCGGUAUGUUAAGUCUUAUUAAUCUACAUUUGGUUCAUAGAUCAAAAAAUACCAUAUUCGAAAUAUAUAUACUAUAUUUUUAAAUUCAAUAAUAAAAAUCUUUUAAAAUAUGUAGGGGAUUAUUGUAGUAUAAAUUUAAAUUUUAAAAGAUUUUGUAGUCGUGGAAGAUUUUAAGGUUGUUGAAGAUUUUAUUUGUAAGAUUUUUUGGUUGUUGCAAGUUUAAUAUUUAAAUUUAAUAUUAAAUCUAACUGUUAUAAUUUUAUUAUAUUAUUUCAAGAUUUUUAUAACAGUUUACUGCCACUAUUUUUUUCAUUAUAAAUAGUCUACAUUUUCGUAAACAAAGUCAUUCCCAUUUUCUAUUUUAUUCUUUUUUUCUCUAUAUUUUUUAUUAAAUUAUAAAUUAGAGAUAAAUUCUUAUUACUCUUAAUCUUUGGAGAUUGCAAAAUAAAUUUUUAAAAACAGUGUUCAACACGACUCAAAUUUUAUUAUUCUAUCCUAUUUUUUUAAUAAUGUGAAAAUGCAUCUAAAUAAAUAAAAAAAUAUUUAGAUAAGUAUUUAUCUUUUUCUUAGACCACAAUAUGACAAUUGAGAAGCUAUCAAAAUGUGAUAUCUCAAAGAUAAUUUGAUUAAAAUAUUGUAUUGCAGGUGACAUGUUUCAAACAAUCAUAAAUGGAAAUCAAAUGGUAACAUAAGCUUCUGUAAAAGUAGAGGUUGUUCUUAAAUAGUAUCUGUAUGUAUAUGCUGACCAUCAUUUUCACAUUAGUGUUGCUUCUAAUCUUUCCGGAUUGAAGAGCUAAUGACUAUUACUCUAACUUCAAGAGAUUAGUGCAUUGCGAUGAUAUUGAGCAUGAAAUAAGCAUGUUUUUCUAGUCUUAAAUAAAGAUUUCUCUUCAUUUCUUAUCCGAGUGAGAUAGCAUCUCUGAAUUGGAUUUCUUAUCAGCAUUCAUUUUCGAUGUAGUGUUGAUAAAUAAUAAUAUUUACUAUAAUUGAAGUGUGUUGUGUUCUAAUAAUAAAUACUUAAUUGUAGGACUACAUUUUCAUAUUAGAUAUUACACAGGAUUAAGGCAAUAGUUAUUCUUAUAUAAGCUUUGACGUCUAAUUUCUCAAGCUUCUCUUAUUACCAUCUAAUUGAAAAGGCCAACCUAAUUCCCAGUUUUUUGUUCAUGACAAAACCCUUGCUGCCACAUUGUAUGAUCCAUGUUGGAAAGAAUCCUCUGCCAUGAUUGUAAAUCAAUCAGUAUUGGAAAGAAUCCUCUGACAUGAUUGUAAAUCAAUCAUGAUCAAAUCUUACCAUGUUUAGCAUAGCACGAUUCUAGGACAUAAUUGAGGGCACAAUCAAAGAUCUAAUUGCUCAUAUUAUGUACUAUAUAAACUCUGUAACUUACUACACAAGAGGUAAGAAAAUAAAAACAGUUUUCUUCCUAUAAUCUCAAGAUGGUAUCAGAGCGGGUUUCGGUCUAAAAAUAUUGUCGUCCUGCAAUAAUCUUUUACCAAAUACCUUUCCCAACUUCUUUCUCUCACCAAAACAACAAUGGUCGACCUCCCCACUUUAAAUAUCUCCAACAGCCUCUAUGUACCUUCCUUAUCUUGCAAAUUACUCUCUGUCAGUCAGAUCACCAAACAGUUAAAUUGCAGAGUACUCAUGUAUCCUCAUUUUUGUGUUUUGCAGGAUAUUCAUAUGGGCACGGUACUGGGCCAUGGUACUGAGAAAGAUGGACUGUACUAUGUGGAGGAGGUCUCAAGUACUGGGUCAACUCAUUUAGCUCAAGGGUCCUCAACCCGACAAUUAUGGCUCUGGCAUCGGCGCUACGACUAUCCCUCAAGUGAUUAUCUUCGUACUUUGUUUCCUGAGUUUAAAUCCAUUGACAUUCCAGUUUGUACUUCAUGCGUACUUGCUAAGAGUCAUAAGAGUACUUAUCAUAUAUCCACAAAUAAAUCUGAUACUCCCUUCUUAAUAAUACACUCUGAUGUAUGGGGGCCUGCCCCGGAAACUGUCUCCUCUGAUUAUAGAUACUUUGUGACUUUUAUCGAUGAUUGCACUCGUGUUACUUGGAUGUACCUGUUAAAACAAAAAAGUGAAGUGGCUGAGAAAUUCUGUGAUUUUUUCCGCAUGAUUAAAACCCAAUUUCACAGGACCAUUCAAGUCCUCCUAUCUGACAAUGGGGGGGAGUUUGUCAAUAACCAUCUCCAAGCCUUUUUCCGGGAUAAUGGGAUCCUUCACCAAACUACUUGUCCUUAUACACCACAGCAAAAUGGGGUUGCUGAAAGGAAAAAUCGACAUAUCCUUGAGACUGCCCGAGCCCUAUUGUUUGAAGCCUAAGUUCCUCCCAAGUUUUGGUCUGAAGCAGUUGCCACAUCCAUUUACCUCAUCAAUCGACUUCCGUCUCGCGUCCUUAAUUUCCAAUCUCCCUUGCAUACCUUGUCCUCUCAUCACACCAUCCCUUCCCAUCUCAAACUUCCACCUAAAAUCUUUGGUUGCACAGUUUAUGUUCACAUUCCUAAAACACACCGCACUAAACUUGAUCAAUGUACUCUUAAGUGUGUUUUCUUUAGUUAUGGUGUCCAUAAAAAGGGCUAUCGAUGUUUUGACCCAAUCUCUAAACGGCUCUUCACUACCAUAGACUGCACCUUUCUGGAAGAGGAAUAUUUUUUUCCCUCGCCAACUAGCAGUGAGGGGGAGACAACGGCACAAUCACCAUCACUGCCAAAUUGGCUUAGUCAGGAGGGGCCAGAACUUGAUUAUUCUUCUCUUCCUGAGACUACACCAGAACUGGGAGACACUGACCAUUUAGUACAGUCCUUGGUCUCAACGUCACAACCAGAACCUGACACCGUAGAAUAUCCUGAGGAACACACAACUGGCUUAGUCAGGAGGGGCCAGAACUUGAUUAUUCUUCUCUUCCUGAGACUACACCAGAACUGGGAGACACUGACCAUUUAGUACAGUCCUCGAUCUCAACGUCACAACCAGAACCUGACGCCGUAGAAUAUCCUGAGGAACACACAACUGAGGUAUGUGAAUCUGAACUUUCUCAUGUUUCUAAUAAUCUUACCACUGAACCCAUUUCCCUUGAGGUUUCUGAAACAGGCCAAUAUGUUCUACCCCCUCGGAAUAAUAGAGGAAUUCCACCCAGGAGAUAUGAUCCAGAAUUUGAGGCAGCCAGAUCCAGAUACCCUGUGGCAAACAUUACCAAAGGAGAAAGACUAUCACCUCAGUUGGUCAACCUACAGAAAUCCAUUUGCUCAGAAUGGAUACCAAAGGAUGCCACAGAGGCCCAGAAGGAUAAAAGAUGGGUUGAGGCAAUGGAGAUCGAGAUGGAUGCCCUAGAGAAAAACAAGACCUGGGAAAAAUGCUGGCUACCCAAGGGAAAACGACCAGUGGGAUGCAAAAGGGUGUUUACCAUAAAGUAUAAGUCAGACGGAACGGUGGACAGAUAUAAAGCUAGACUUGUAGUAAAAGGAUUGGCAGAACUCCUAUGGAUCAGAAAGUUGAUGUUUGAGCUUGGAUUCCCAUCAAAGGAUGCAGUUGAACUCCGUUGUGACAACAAGGCGGCAAUAAGCAUUUCUGAAAAUCCAGUUCAGCAUGAUCGAACAAAACAUGUUGAAAUAGACCGACAUUUCAUCAAAGAAAAGUUGGACAGUGGUCUGAUAUCUUUACCGUUUGUUCGAUUAAAGGAUCAAUGGGCGGACAUCCUAACCAAAGCAGUAGCUGGACGAAUAUUCCAUGAGGUUUUGGGCAAGUUGGGUAUGCUAGAUCCACAUGAUCCAACUUGAGGGGGAGUGUUGGAAAGAAUCCUCUGCCAUGAUUGUAAAUCAAUCAGUAUUGGAAAGAAUCCUCUGACAUGAUUGUAAAUCAAUCAUGAUCAAAUCUUACCAUGUUUAGCAUAGCACGAUUCUAGGACAUAAUUGAGGGCACAAUCAAAGAUCUAAUUGUUCAUAUUAUGUACUAUAUAAACUCUGUAACUUACUACACAAGAGGUAAGAAAAUAAAAACAGUUUUCUUCCUAUAAUCUCAAGAAUCCACAACCAUAUAGCUUCACAGGACUCAUAGAUUUUAUAGUUAACAUUAUGUAAUACUUCAACACAAAUUUUAACUUUUAGUAUUAGUAAUGCCAAAGUUUGAUAGAUUUAAAGCUUCCAUGUUCUGGCCAAUUAGUUGAAAUGUAUUAUUAUUUUACAGCAACCAUAUUUUACAUAAAAAAAAUUAUUUUUAAAAAUGCUCAACUUCAUGCAAGCACCAUCUAAUAUAUCUCCUUUAACUAAUUAUUGGCUAGGCCCAGAAGAAAAAUAAAACAUUCAAUUACAAUUUUGUGAAAGAAGACUAAAAUUUGAUAAUUGGUUCUCUACGGAAAUCAUAACUAUUAUUUUCCAGUGUCAAACCAAAAUCUCAAAUUGAUAACUCUUAUUUUCUAACUUGCAAAUAAAAAAUAGUCAAUGAAAAGCAAUCUAUUGUAACAAAUGAAUGAAUCAAUAUGCAUAAGGCAGAACCAAGAAAGACACCAUCAAAAAUGAAAAUUAGUUCCAGGUGUAUCGAAUGGCAAUUUUUACUUAGUCCGAGUCUAUGGUGUGUAUCCCACCAUAUAUUUACACCAUAGACUGUAAGUUUCCUCUCUUCUAGAGAUUCAAAAGAGUGCAAGGAUGACUAGAACUUACAAAAACUAUAGUUUAGUCAAGGUUGUUUGCAAAGAUAAAUUUUUCAGUUGGCAAAUUCUUUUGCUAGGAAAAGUAGAAUCUGUAUUAUAAAAACAAAAUGAAAAUGCAAAAGAAAUAUUUAUAGUUUAGGUUCUAUAGAUUACAUAACCAAAUACUAUCAAAAUGAAAAUUAGAAAUUCUAGUUCAAGAUGCAACCAGUGCAAAAUUUCUAUCUGGAGACGGUUUCUUUAUGAUUAUGAUUGUCGCUGAAUCCUUCUCCUAGAAGGAAGGGUAUCCAAUUGUGGACACAUGGAAAUCCUUUUGUCUAUGGACUCCCAAUCCAAUGAAUCAUCAAUAUAUAUGCUUCUUAAACUUGGAAGACCAACAAGUAUAAUUGACUUCAGAUUUGGGAGUGCAGGAGCAUUCAUUCCGUUGUUCUCUGCUUCUAGGGUGACUUCUUCAAUUUCAUGACAAGCUUCAAUUUCCAAGUGUUGGAGAUUAGAGAAUUGUUGAACUAAACCGUUACAGAAAAUCUUCUUCAGCUUGGAACAUUUGAAGAAAACCAAAGUAUUUAAAAGGGCAAGACUUCCCGGAGGUAUUGAACCCUCCUAAAAUCUUUCCAAUUUGGGGACAUUGCUUAUGUACAUCUUCUCUAAGCACUCAAGAACUGCUCUUGUUAUUCCAUUGCCAUUAACAACAGUUUCCAUUUCAUUACAGCUUUCAAUCAAACAACUUCUGAUCUUGGUCAUAUUGUUAAGGCCAAAGUCAGAUAAGUUCAAAAAUCUCUUGCAUCCAAUCAGCUCAAGUACAUUAACUUCAGCAAGUACUACUUCUGGUACUGAAAGAUUGCCAUCACCAUUUGCAUAUUUUACAUGCCAGAAAAUUUUACCUUCAUAGUUAUCAAGAAUUUUAUACCUAGUUGAAUCAUAUUGACCAAUAGAGAAGGAAAGGUAAGUCAAUUUUGUUAAGACAGCCAUAUUUUAAAUUAUAUCUCUCACAACUUUAUCCCACCACUUAUUUUCUGGAUGAAUGUCGAUGACCAACUCUUCCAACAAAGAAAGUUGUAAAAUCAUAGUAUGAUUUGUUUUCAUAUACCUUGAUUUUCCAUAUAUCUUUUACAAUUACAUCCGAAAGCACCGGAGUUGGCUCAAACAACUUAUUUCAACCAGCAAAGAAUUGAUCCCAGUUCCUUGAAUAUCAAGAACCUCGAGUAGCUUAAGUGCGUUUAUUUUGGCUGGAAGCUUCAACAGUUUCCUGCAUGAAUUCAAGUAAAGAGCUCUGAGAUACCAAGCAUGACAACGAUGAUGGUAACUCGACAAUAUCGGUGCUCUGUAAGUCCAAGACCCUAAGACUUUGCAUUGAUUCAAAGAAUUGUCGAUGGAUUACUGCCAAAUCAGUAUUUCUCUGCUGCAGCAGUGUCAAGAGAUUGUUGCAAUCUGGCUUUUCCGGUAAAGUAUUCAAUUUGUUAUCUAUCAAAGAAAUCCCUAGCUUUUUUCCCAUUUUUUACUUUCUGGGUCUUUUGGAGCUCCUUGCCAGAUUUCACCAAACAUUUUGAAUCCUCACUUUCCAAUAUUUUUAAGGCCAUUUUUCGUAGUACCUUGUUCAUCUUUACAUGUUUUACCUUUUCCCCAUUUUCUAGCAAAGACGCAUCCAUCAGAUCAUGCAAUAUCUCUUGCCCUUUCUGAAUUGCAGUGAACUGCUGCACAUCUUGAGUGAAAUUUUCAGCUCUCCAACAUUCUAGCAGAUACUUUAUACAUAUUUCAUAUGCUUCAGUAUAUAAGGCACCAUAAAGAAAGCAAAACUUUUCAUCUUCAUCUAAUUCUUCAUAACAAAAUCUUAAUAAAUCAAACACAUCAUCCAUGCCAUCACAUUUGGUACCAACCAUAUUCGCA